Molecule: ribosomal RNA, 253 nt
Filed under: uncultured bacterium
Lineage: Bacteria
Description: partial 16S ribosomal RNA
Rfam family: Bacterial small subunit ribosomal RNA
Source: RNAcentral
UACGUAGGGGGCAAGCGUUGUCCGGAAUCAUUGGGCGUAAAGCGCGUGUAGGCGGUCCGAUAAGUCGGUUGUGAAAGUCAAGGGCUCAACCCUUGAAUGCCGACCGAUACUGUCGGGCUAGAGUCCGGAAGAGGCGAGUGGAAUUCCUGGUGUAGCGGUGAAAUGCGCAGAUAUCAGGAGGAACACCGGUGGCGAAGGCGGGUCUCUGGGCAGUAACUGACGCUGAGGAGCGAAAGCGUGGGGAGCGAACAGG